RNAcentral lists this ribosomal RNA (546 nucleotides) under uncultured bacterium. Its description in RNAcentral is "partial 16S ribosomal RNA". It matches the Rfam family "Bacterial small subunit ribosomal RNA", at positions 355 to 889 of the family's 1533-position model. The record is from RNAcentral.
UGGGGAAUUUUGGACAAUGGGCGCAAGCCUGAUCCAGCCAUGCCGCGUGCGGGAAGAAGGCCUUCGGGUUGUAAACCGCUUUUGUCAGGGAAGAAAUCUUCUGAGUUAAUACCUCGGGAGGAUGACGGUACCUGAAGAAUAAGCACCGGCUAACUACGUGCCAGCAGCCGCGGUAAUACGUAGGGUGCAAGCGUUAAUCGGAAUUACUGGGCGUAAAGCGUGCGCAGGCGGUUUUGUAAGACAGAGGUGAAAUCCCCGGGCUCAACCUGGGAACUGCCUUUGUGACUGCAAGGCUUGAGUGCGGCAGAGGGGGAUGGAAUUCCGCGUGUAGCAGUGAAAUGCGUAGAUAUGCGGAGGAACACCGAUGGCGAAGGCAAUCCCCUGGGCCUGCACUGACGCUCAUGCACGAAAAGCGUGGGGAGCAAAACAGGAUUAGAUAGCCCUGGUAGUCCACGCCCUAAAACGAUGCCAACUGGUUGUUGGGAAGGUUCCUUCUCAGUAACGUAGCUAACGCGUGAAGUUUGACCGCCUGGGGAGUACGGCCGC